AUGACGAUAGCUCGCAAUGCCCGAGCAGAUGGUUCAGCUGUAGUAGAGAAGAUUCUUGAAAGCGAGUGGCGAGUUGGGUACAAUGCAAUGACCAAGAAGUUCGAAGACCUUGUUGAUGCUGGCGUGGUCGAUCCGUCCCGGGUUUCUAGAUGCGUGCUCCAGAACUCUGCUUCUAUCGCAAGGCUAAUUCUAAUGACCCAAGAAAUGAUGUUUGAUAAUAUAAAGAAGAAAAACUCGCCCAUUCCUGAAAUUCCAGGCCUCCCACCGUUGCAGAUAAAUCAAAAUGCUUAG
RNAcentral lists this ribosomal RNA (291 nucleotides) under Triticum aestivum (bread wheat). Its description in RNAcentral is "partial small subunit ribosomal RNA". Lineage: Eukaryota; Viridiplantae; Streptophyta; Magnoliopsida; Poales; Poaceae. The record is from RNAcentral.